RNAcentral lists this ribosomal RNA (253 nucleotides) under uncultured bacterium. RNAcentral's name for it is "partial 16S ribosomal RNA". It matches the Rfam family "Bacterial small subunit ribosomal RNA", at positions 524 to 776 of the family's 1533-position model. The record is from RNAcentral.
GACGAACCGUGCGAACGUUGUUCGGAAUCACUGGGCUUAAAGGGCGCGUAGGCGGGUUUGCAAGUCUGCGGUGAAAGCCCCCAGCUUAACUGGGGAAGUGCCGUGGAUACUGCGAGUCUUGAGGAGGGUAGGGGCAUCUGGAACAUUGGGUGGAGCGGUGAAAUGCGUUGAUAUCCAAUGGAACUCCGGUGGCGAAGGCGAGGUGCUGGACCCUUUCUGACGCUGAGGCGCGAAAGCCAGGGGAGCGAACGGG